GGGCUUGUAGCUCAGGUGGUUAGAGCGCACGCCUGAUAAGCGUGAGGUCGGUGGUUCAACUCCACCCAGGCCCA
Molecule: transfer RNA, 74 nt
Filed under: Rickettsiales bacterium Ac37b
Lineage: Bacteria; Pseudomonadati; Pseudomonadota; Alphaproteobacteria; Rickettsiales
Also listed under: 1 other name
Rfam family: tRNA
About the family: Transfer RNA (tRNA) molecules are approximately 80 nucleotides in length. Their secondary structure includes four short double-helical elements and three loops (D, anti-codon, and T loops). Further hydrogen bonds mediate the characteristic L-shaped molecular structure. tRNAs have two regions of fundamental functional importance: the anti-codon, which is responsible for specific mRNA codon recognition, and the 3' end, to which the tRNAs corresponding amino acid is attached (by aminoacyl-tRNA synthetases). tRNAs cope with the degeneracy of the genetic code in two manners: having more than one tRNA (with a specific anti-codon) for a particular amino acid; and 'wobble' base-pairing, i.e. permitting non-standard base-pairing at the 3rd anti-codon position.
Source: Rfam by way of RNAcentral